GUCCUUGUAGCUCAGUAGGAUAGAGCAACUCCCUCCUAAGGAGUAGGUCGCAAGUUCGAUUCUUGUCAAGGACA
Molecule: transfer RNA, 74 nt
Filed under: Kurthia populi
Lineage: Bacteria; Bacillati; Bacillota; Bacilli; Caryophanales; Caryophanaceae
Also listed under: 1 other name
Description: tRNA-Arg
Rfam family: tRNA
About the family: Transfer RNA (tRNA) molecules are approximately 80 nucleotides in length. Their secondary structure includes four short double-helical elements and three loops (D, anti-codon, and T loops). Further hydrogen bonds mediate the characteristic L-shaped molecular structure. tRNAs have two regions of fundamental functional importance: the anti-codon, which is responsible for specific mRNA codon recognition, and the 3' end, to which the tRNAs corresponding amino acid is attached (by aminoacyl-tRNA synthetases). tRNAs cope with the degeneracy of the genetic code in two manners: having more than one tRNA (with a specific anti-codon) for a particular amino acid; and 'wobble' base-pairing, i.e. permitting non-standard base-pairing at the 3rd anti-codon position.
Source: RNAcentral